AUACGGAGGGUGCAAGCGUUGUUCGGAAUUAUUGGGCGUAAAGAGCAUGUAGGCGGACUAUUAAGUCUGGUGUGAAAGCCCGGGGCUCAACCCCGGAAGUGCAUUGGAUACUGGUAGUCUUGAGUAUGGGAGAGGAAAGUGGAAUUCCGAGUGUAGGAGUGAAAUCCGUAGAUAUUCGGAGGAACACCAGUGGCGAAGGCGGCUUUCUGGACCAAUACUGACGCUGAGAUGCGGAAGCGUGGGGAGCGAACAGGAUUAGAAACCCCAGUAGUCC
This 274-nucleotide ribosomal RNA is filed under the name uncultured bacterium. RNAcentral describes it as "partial 16S ribosomal RNA". It matches the Rfam family "Bacterial small subunit ribosomal RNA", at positions 523 to 796 of the family's 1533-position model. The record is from RNAcentral.